AGUAGCGCAGGGGCGGGGUGGGGCUAAGGGGACCCUCAUCCUCCCUAUCGGACAAGUGGGGGUCCUGAGCACUGCCCCAGAAGGGGUCCAGAGAACGUUAUGGGCUGAGACACACCCGCGGGGGCAGAAACUGGAGGACACGACGGACAUCACUAGCAUCCAGGACUCUGUCCCUCCUUUCAACUGCCCCAUGUUCGCCACCCCUGCGUUAGCACCCUGUGGGCCCAGGGCCGUCCGGGGUAACAGUCAAGGCGCUCUUGGAUGCUCUGCGAAUCACCGCCGCUUCGUCCUUACUUUGGGACCGGUCACAGGCUUCCGGCUUCCAUCGGCCGCUUUAGAUAGGUGCCCUCUCGGGUACCUCAACCCCGCCCCCCGGGGUCAAAUGUGUGCCUCUCCUGGAAAUCCUCUGCGAAGGAGACAAACUUUUGAGUGGACGAAAAUCUAGAGGAGCCUGUCUGGAGCAGGUUUGGAGACAGGAAAGUGAAUGUUUAACCCCACACUCCACUCAUCUUUCCCUGCUCUCCUGUCAACCUCAAAGCUGCCGGGAGGAAGGAACUGCGGCUUCCAGCCCUGCCAAUAAUCAAAGAAAAUUCAAAUUCUAUCCUGAGAAGAAGGGCAGCUGCCUCCUUCCCUAUCCUGCCUGCACACAUUGAUCUGUUGUGAGGGCACCUGGGGGGUCAGAAAAGAGACCAGACUGUUUUAAUUGGUCUAAAAUUAGCAUUUCCUAUCACACCAACGGCCAGAAACAAGAGGUCUUUGCCCAGACGCGUACCUGUCCUCAGGCCCCUCAGGCCAGCAACGGUGUCCACAUUUGUUGGGGUGGGGAGUAGAAGGGGACAUGGGCAAUUCCACCCAUUUUGCAUCCAGUGUCCAUAGCCGUUCACUCUCCUUAAUGUUUUCUUUCUGCACUCGUCAUGGGCAAAACAUCGCUUCUACCUCGGCAAGUCACAUUUAUCGGAAGAUUUUCGCCUCCCGAGACCUCAGUGUGCUGUGGACAGAUACACAAAUAAACAGAUGGGAAAAGAAAA
Long non-coding RNA from Mesocricetus auratus (golden hamster), 1028 nucleotides. RefSeq lists it as uncharacterized. The record is from RefSeq and is a predicted model, not a curated record. NCBI's taxonomy places the organism in Eukaryota, Metazoa, Chordata, Mammalia, Rodentia, Cricetidae. The transcript is spliced from 2 exons.